CCAAUGUGUAGCCAAAAUCAGGGAUGCUGCUUUCUUCAGAAGUGUCAUCUAGAUCUUUAAAAGCCAAGCAUAGAGUUCUCAGAGCUUCAGAGGCAAAGCCAUUUAUAACAUCUGAGAUAUUCCUCUUCUGUUCUUCAGACAGGUUAGCAACUUUUCCACUAUCAUCAACAACCUUGUCACACAUUUUUAAUACUAUUUCAGAUCCACCUUUGCAAGAUGCCUGCAACC
RNAcentral lists this unclassified non-coding RNA (228 nucleotides) under Hevea brasiliensis (rubber tree). Lineage: Eukaryota; Viridiplantae; Streptophyta; Magnoliopsida; Malpighiales; Euphorbiaceae. The record is from RNAcentral.